AGUGAACGCUGGCGGUAGGCCUAACACAUGCAAGUCGAGCAGCAGCACAGGAGAGCUUGCUCUCUGGGUGGCGAGUGGCAGACGGGUGAGGAAUACAUCGGAAUCUACUUUUUCGUGGGGGAUAACGUAGGGAAACUUACGCUAAUACCGCAUACGACCUACGGGUGAAAGCAGGGGAUCUUCGGACCUUGCGCGAUUGAAUGAGCCGAUGUCGGAUUAGCUAGUUGGCGGGGUAAAGGCCCACCAAGGCGACGAUCCGUAGCUGGUCUGAGAGGAUGAUCAGCCACACUGGAACUGAGACACGGUCCAGACUCCUACGGGAGGCAGCAGUGGGGAAUAUUGGACAAUGGGCGCAAGCCUGAUCUAGCCAUACCGCGUGGGUGAAGGAGGCCUUCGGGUUGUAAAGCCCUUUUGUUGGGAAAGAAAUCCAGCUGGUUAAUACCCGGUUGGGAUGACGGUACCCGAAGAAUAAGCACCGGCUAACUUCGUGCCAGCCGCCGCCGUAA
This 506-nucleotide ribosomal RNA is filed under the name uncultured bacterium. RNAcentral's name for it is "partial 16S ribosomal RNA". It matches the Rfam family "Bacterial small subunit ribosomal RNA", at positions 29 to 523 of the family's 1533-position model. The record is from RNAcentral.